UUCAACUACUCAUGGCUCUAGCUAGUAGCCAGCUGCCCCUGACACUCUAGGGAGCACACACUCAACAGAGACUUCUGGAAGUCAAUAUGAUGGGAAGAAUAGGAGUUCUGGUCAGGAAUCCCUGUGGUCAGCACAAUUCCAAGGACAAAAGACUCAAAUCCCAGCUCUAAGCAGGAUAACCUUGGACACUAGAGACUACACCCCACCCUGAGGACUGUGAGCACCUCAUAAGCCCUCUGCGGUCUUGCCUCCGCCCUGUUGGCUGGGAAGCUAAGGUGUGGACAGGAUCAGAACCCUACCUCGCUUGAAGCUUUUCUUCCCAAGAGAACAGAAGACCAGGCAGCACGAAGAAGACCUAAGACUUGAUUUUUUUUUCUUUUCCUAAUGGCACUAGAGAUGGUUUACAGGGCUUGCAUAUGUCAGGAUUUGGACCUUUAUUGGGGAAUGGUUUCCUCCAAGACUGAAACAUUCCAAACUAAAGGGAGGCUCUUAAAACAAGGAGGUGAACAACUCAAAAAUGCUUCAGGAAGUCCCUGAAAUUGAAAUUUACUCAGUGGUCCAGGAGGCAAUAAAGACUGUGGAGAGUCACUGUCAGAGAAGCAAAGCACACUGAAACCAAACCAACUUCCUGGGAGAAGCAGAAACCAGUCGAGCAGCCUAGAAGAGUUUUAGACCAGAGGACACUCUCUGACCUGUUGAGUUGCCUGCAGACUGUACAGUUGCUCCAGAUUCCCAGCUCUAUGAACUGUCACCCAUGCCGGGGCGGACCUUGGUCAUGCAGCUGUCUUUGAGUCAUUUCUGCUCCUGUAAGUGACCCCUCACUCACAUUCCUGUAACUGACUUCAAUAAAGCUCACUGGUUCACCAA
Mastomys coucha (southern multimammate mouse) is the source of this 867-nucleotide long non-coding RNA. RefSeq lists it as uncharacterized. The record is from RefSeq and is a predicted model, not a curated record. NCBI's taxonomy places the organism in Eukaryota, Metazoa, Chordata, Mammalia, Rodentia, Muridae. The transcript is spliced from 2 exons.